Molecule: non-coding RNA, 2008 nt
Organism: Punica granatum (pomegranate)
Lineage: Eukaryota; Viridiplantae; Streptophyta; Magnoliopsida; Myrtales; Lythraceae
Source: RefSeq, a predicted model, not a curated record
AUUUCUUUGAAUCCAAACGGGGAUUUUCUCUCCAAACGUAUAUUGUUCGUAGGACGCAUAGGUGUAUAUAGUUUGGAUAGGAAGAAAGUGGAUGAAAUUUGUGGGACUAGAGUUUGCUGAGUUUGACAGAGUACGAUGUCUGUAGUAUGCUUGGAAGGAAUGAUAUAUUAGAUUAGUACUAGGCUGCUUUUCUGAUAUACCACCUCACUGGGUGGGGAGGUAGGGAGGUAGGGAAGUAACAUGAGCAUGUUAACCGUGGAUUAUACUCAAAGCUGACAAUCUUUUGUCUUAGCAUUAUGUUGCUUAGUAGUCCUUUUUUUGAGCAUGCCUAUCGAAGAUGAGAGGCAUAUAUGGUAAUGAAGACUAGGUUCAUUAUUGCUCACUCUUUUCAAUUAAGGAAACCUCAAAAAGGAUACUAGUCAUUGUGUUUUCGAGUUCAUCAUGAUCAUAUAUCUCACAUUCAUUUGUCAAUCUUAUAGCUGCUUUUUUUUUCCCUCUCUUGGUGAAAUAUUUUGUUUCAAAUGUGUCUUGGAGGAUCGAUCCCUGUUUUGAUCGAAAACAAAACAGGGGAGCAUGGUCCAGUUUGGAAAGAAGUGCCUGUGCAUGAUCGUCAGGUCCAGGAUGCAGCUGAUCAUGCUAUUGAGACUAUCCAACAGAGGUCCAACUCGGUCUUCCCUUAUGAACUGUACGAGAUCAUUCAUGCAAAGGUCGAGGCAUAUGUUCUGUUCCAAUAUGUCUCCCUUUUCACUUUGGUUUCCUAUUUGACUCGAAUUGCCAUUGUUCAGCUACUUUCUUCCAGUAUAUAAAAGCAUUAUCCUUAAGAGAAAAAAUGAGCAUGUAGCGAAAAUUCUUUCAUCCUCACACUAUGUCUUGCUCUUAUAUAUAGAUGGAUAGAUUGUUUUGGAUAUGUUCCAAUAUGAAAUAUCCCCUUAACUUUGUUUAUUGGUGCUGAUUAUUGUCAAUUUAGUCCUUCCUCGGUAUAGGAGCAGAUAUAAGUUAUGGCGGUAUAUCAUGGAACCUCAUGUUUACUAUACGAGAGUGUGUGCCAUUAUGCCCUAUAUUAGGGGAGCCUGAUUCCCCUGUCAUGGUAGCCUGAUUCCUAUUUUGAUCAAAACUAGGGGAAUAUAGCGUCGGCAACCAACCCCUCAGACCUAGUCGAUGGCGAUAUCAGAGGUCGCCGGCGAUCUAGUCUGGGCGGUGGUGGCCCCGGCGCAAGCCACCAUCAGUUGGAUCUCCCCCUCUCUCUCAUUCCGUUUUCCGAGUAUGUUCCUAGGUUUUGAGAUUGGGAAUGGGAGUGCUCUGAACUGCUUGAUUUGUAUCUGUGCAUUUUACUAUUUCAAAUCGAAUAUCAAGCAUCAGGUUGAGGUUUAGUUAAGUUCUCUUUAUUUGCUCAAUAUGUUGUUGAGCAAGUUCUUGCUUGCUAUGAAGCUUUUAAGAGGAAGUGCUUUCUGUCGAGCAAGGUUGAAUGACUCUAUUCAAUUGAAUUCAUGCCAAUUGAAUUGAAUUAUUGUAUUUUUAAGGAUUCCAAACUUGUAAUAACGAUGAUACUAAGCUAACUAUCAGGUAAAUUUAACCUUCAAAAGUCGGUGUCAAAUGAAAUAAAAAGAACAGAGUCAUUUGUUAUCUGGAAAGAAUAAUUUCUCUUUGCCUUUCCUUGUAGAUAUCUUGUAAUGGCCCGGGCUCUGAUGAAGGCUGGCCGGCCAAUCUUCUUUUCAUUGGAAGGUUGGAAACUGCGGGAGAACAACUAGCGACAUUGCUGAUGACUGGGAUAGGAAACCUUGUAAAAGAUGGUGAGCUUUUGGAACAGGUUGAUGGGGAAGGUGGCCUCUCAUAACUGACACCUUGUAAAAGAUGGUGAGCUUUUGGAAUAGGUUGAUGGGGAAGGUGGCCUCCCAUAACUGUAAGCGCCACAAGUGGGUCUUCAAGGAACCUUUCGAGUGAGAGUUAAACAUCUCCAACUACUGAAAAUACUUUUAUUUUAUUAAUAAAAUCCAGUCCAACGCAUCAA